GGAAUGUUUGGUCAGAGAUUGUGGGUCUCUGGGUAUUAUGGUUAUCAGCUUGACUAAAUCUGGAAUCAACUAACAGGCAAGCUGCUAGACGUUCCUGUGAGGGAUUUUUCUUCUCCCAUUAAGGCAGAAGUCUCACCCUAACUGUAGAUGGCACCUUCUGGUGGCAGCCCAGAUAAAGGGAUGUGGAAGAAGGAAACCCUGCUUUUCCUUGCCUGCUCUCUCUCUCUUGGUAAAGUUCAUCUACCCUGCUUUCACUGAUUUCUUCGCUGCUACUAAAAGCAGCUUCUUUGGUCUCCUGGUGCAGGCUGAAGAGCAGCAGCCGUCAGGGAGCCUCCAGGUCUGGAGAACACCAGGUUGGGACGGCUGAGGCAUCUGCUUUGGGGACUGAGCAACCGCAGGAGCAAGUCACCCCUCUAUUAGUUCUAUUCUUAUAGAGAACCCCGACUAAUACAGACUACUGUGGCCCCAAGAGUGGGUUUUAAAAAGAGAGAAUUGUAAGGAUGACUUGAUGGUAUCUGGAGCUAGGUCUCCAGCUCAACAGAAGAUUCCUAAAGAUUCUCCUGGUAUCAUGCAGGGCACUGAAAGCCCGUGGUGCAAACCCUUUAAAUCACUAUGCAAGAUAAAUGCGUUAGAUACUCCUGGUUCAUCUCUUGUGAGGAGCAAAGAAUUUGCGGAUCUGCAUUUAAAACUUUUGACUGGGGCUAAAGAGAUGGCUCAGUGGUUAAGAGUACUGUCUGCUCUUCCAGAGGUCCCGAGUUCAAUUCCCAGCUCGCACAUGAUGGCUCCCAACCAUCUAUAAUGUGAUCUGAUGCCCUCUUCUGGCCUGCAGGUGUAUGUGCAGAUAGAGCACACACAUACAUAUACAUAUACAUAUACAUAUACAUAUACAUAUACAUAUACAUAUAUAAACAUUUUUUAAAAAUCUUAUGACCAUUUGUGGGAAAGCGAAGAAUAAUGUCGACUAGUUAUUUCUAUUAUCUCUGGAUAAAGUGAAAAAGGAAAUAAUAUGUUCAGUGAUUAAAAAUAAGUAAAUAACUGGCUCCGUCCGUCGCUCUGGAAAAGAAUCUUUUCUCCUCCAGCAGCCACAGUGUUCACGUUGCCAAAAAGCAAACGAAAACUAAAACCCUCACCAUACAAUUAUCCAACUUAAACAAAACUGCAGUCCAGCCUUGGAGGGUGUCAGCAGCUAAACUGAGGGUACCGCUUACUAAAGAACGGGACCCUUGAACUUGUGUGGGAGAACUCUGAGGGGGCUGGGGCUCCUGAACUCUCAGUCUGAUGGGUUCAUUUUGGCUGAGGAAAUCAUCUUGAUUAGAAGAAAUGUGAUUGCUUAGCGAUUUUCGAGCUUGUCAAUGUAACAACCACAGCACUUCUCUUAAAGGGAUGAAGAGAGAAUUUAUUCUGGAGCCAUUGUGACUGACCAUGGCCAGGGAACACAGAUUUCUGUUGCACCAAUUUUCCAUGUUCCAAUGUGGAAGCAAUUUCACAUAUUUUUGUUUUGUUUUUGUUUUUAAAUAGUAUUACAGAAUAAUGAAAGUCAUAAGUCAUAAAUCAAGGCAACUUUAAAAUACAUUGGUGGGUACACCAGAGAGGUGGGCACAAGAUGUGGGGAGCUAGUCUCUAGGCCCAAGAUGUGAGCUGACGAAUUCUUAGCUCAUGGAUUGAUGGAAGCCAGUGAUCUGCUAAUAGCUUCUAAGAGGUUUUAACUUAGCACAAGGAGGUAGUGCAGAUACAGAGUGAGGCAAGGAAUAUAACUCUUCCAGAAGGUUAAAACUAGCCCAAGGUAAAUUAGCCACUGAAUCUAAAAAAUUCCAGUUUCUCAUAGGUACUGAAACCCAGUCAUUCCAUCAGUCUCUGCAGAUAUGAUGCUUUCUAAGAGUUAUUUUUCAUUUUGUUUUUGUUUUCACAGUCAGUCAUAGCUUUACACAUACAUAUAUAUACACACACACACAUGAGUUUUCUGUUUGCAUGUAUGCCUGCAUGCCAAAAGACAGCAUCAGAUCCCAUUAUAGAUGGUUGUGAGCCACCUUGUGGUUGCUGGGACUUGAACUCAGGAUUGCUGGAAGACCAAGCCAGUGCUCUCAACCACUGAGCCAUCUCUCCAGCCCUAUCAGCCAUAACUCCUUUUCAGGAAUUUUCUCAUUCACAGGCUGUAGCCAAGGGACUUGAAAAGAGCAUGACUGAAAACUUGGUAAGAAAGACAUUGAGGAAAGAAGUUUUUCCAGUGUGUCUCUCCAAACUGACAAAGGCUGUGAAGAUACAUGUGUCUCAUACAGAUGUUCAUCCGAAGGUCACUUCUGCAGAGGAAGAGUUCAGUAAUCAAGGAGUUAGGACGACCCACUUGAUGAAGAGUCAGCUUCUCAGUUACCUUUCUAUUACCGCGACAAAACACCAUGACCGACUUAUAUAAGAAAGACUGGAGUCCAUGAGCACUGGGCUGGGAACAAGGCAGCGGGCAGCAGGUGUAGUGCUGGAGCAGGAGCUGAGCGCUUGCAUCUGAUCCACAGGCAGAAUGCAGAGAGCACCAGCUUGAAGCCCACCUGCAGUGACGCACCUCCCCCAACAAGGGCACGCCUUCUAACCCUCACCAAAUAGUUCUAGCAACUGGGGACCAAGCCUUUAGACAGCCAGGUUCAGGGUCAUUCUCAGUCAAACGACCACAGCUUCUUUCUCAGGCCGUCCUUGUCCUUGCCCAAUAGACCCAUGAACAAAGUGGCCAUGGGGGCAGAGGUGGAAGCUAUGCAUGCAUCCAAAAACAUAGACUCCCGCUCACCCUGGCUAACCUAGCUAGGGCUCCUGCUGAGUGCCAGAUCUGCCAACAGCAGAGGUGAACAGUGAGCCCUCUGUAAGGCACUGGGGGACAGCUACAGGGAUGUAGGGAGACAGGGAAAGAAAGAACGGGCUCCCCAGGGUGACAGCUUCUCUUCUCAGAAGCCAUUUCAAGAAGAGACAGUAGGAAGGUGCAGCAUGUGGUAGGAACAUAAGCAAAACCGUUCUGUGACACUUAAAAAAAAACAUCUUGUGUCACUUGGCAUAAUGUAAUGCCUGUAAGAAGCUUGCCACCAGCAGCUUCAGUAAAAGCUCGGCGUCAGAAGCAAGUUGUGACGUGGUAAUGGACUGACAACAUGGCCGCUCAGAUACAGCUAAGCCCAAGACAGCCCUUCCUGUGCUAAUGAACUAACUCCAAGGUAGCACCGAUUUGCUGGUGAACUAGCCCCAAGCUGUGAACGCUGAUAAGGCGAAGCUACCGCCCAAUGAUACGACGAAAAUUGGACCUUUGGGAAAGGUCUCCAGGAUCGCUAUGCCACGCCCUUGAGACACAGCUUUUUAGCCUCCAUGUUGCUGCCCAUCGGCGAGAAGCCUUGAGAUUGGCCUCUGUGUGUGGUGGCCUGGCUUCAGUGACUGUUGAAUUUGCACCAUCGCUGGACUCACCCACGCCCACUUGUCAGUGUUAGCUGCUGGCCGACACUCUCAGGGACCUCCUGGGCCUCCAUUGGUGCCAUCCCCACAGCCUGCCACAGCUGAAGGACUUCAUGGCGGAUGUGGUUUGGGCCUGCGAGCUUCUGAAGCAUCGUCACCAGAAAAGAUUACCCAGUGGAACCCUGCGGCAGCAUUUCUGUCCCAACAGCUGUUCCCCACUUGGUGAGACAUGCAAUUCUCUGUCCUACAAGACAAAGUCAGUGAUCCCCUAGGUGAACACCAGCACUCCAAUUACAGGACCAUCUGCCAGAGUGACCAAGCAGGGACCCCAUGGUAAGUUCACCCCAUUUUUCCAUUUCCACCCUGGAAGGGUAUCACUUUGCCCUUCCUUGAAUAGAUGCUUAUUCUGGUUAUGAAUCCGCCUUUCCUUCACUACCACACAUAUAGUAUUCUACACAACACUGCUUCUGACCAGGGAGCAAUAAGGCCCAAGAAGUACAGCAGUGGGCCCAGUUCAUGGAAUUGACUGGUUUUAUCAUUUUAUCAUGUCCCUGCCAUCCUGAAGAAUCUGGCUUGAUAGACCUAUGGGAAAAAUUAUUUUAAAUUUAUUUUAUUUUAUGUGUUUGGUGUGAGCAUGUCAGAUCCUCACAGUUGUGAGUCGACAGAGAAUUGAACCCAGGUCCUCUGGAAGAUGUGCUCUUAACCACUAAGCCAUCUUUCCAGGCUCAGAAAAAUCUUUUAAAAACACAGUACAGCAACAAUUAUGUGGCAAUAGCCUACAUGGCUGGGGCAGGGUUCUCCAGAGUCUGUAUAUGGUAGAUGGUACUGAUUUUCAUAUAGGCAAGAUGCAUGGGUCCAGGGAUCAAAGGAAACCAGAAUAGUUCCUCUCUUACUGUCAUGACUAGAAGUCCACUAGCAGAACUUGUCUUUCUUGUUUUCGUGACUUUGUGUUCUGCGAGCCAAAAGUUAUGCUCCAGAAGGACAGUGUGCUUCUGGCACGAGGCACAGCAAAUGCUCCAUUAAACUGGAAGCUAAGACUCCUCCUCUUUCUGGCCACUUGGGCUCCUCAUACCAUUGGACCAGUAGUCUAAAAAGGAACAACAGGACAUAUGAUUGACCCAGACUUCAAGGAAAAACUGGAUGCGUCUCCACAAUGGAGGUUGGCUGUUUAGUGGCCUAGAGCCAUCAGGAAUGAAGGUGCUGGUCACCCCUUCUUACAAAGAACCAAAAUCUGCUGAGAUGCCAGCUGAGGUUUAUAAUCCACCAUCCGGAGGAGUCAGGGAAGGAACUCAAGGCAAGAACCUGGAGACAGGAAUCGAUGCAGAGACUGUGGAGAGCAUGAUAUGAGGAGAAGUGGCCAGGUGUCAAGUUGACGAGAGGCAGACAUGUGAUGGAUAAUCAUGGUUGUCAAUUUAACUGGAUCGGAAACCAACCAGAAGGCAAGCUGCUGGACUCCUGGGAGGGUUUGAUGGAUAAUCAUGGUUGUCAAUUUAACUGGAUCGGAAACCAACCAGAAGGCAAGCUGCUGGACUCCUGGGAGGGAUUUUUCUCGGUCAGAUUAUUUGAAGCAGAAAGGCCCACCCUGUGUGUGGGUGCAGCCUUCUGGUGGCAGCCCUGAUAAAGUAAGCUCUGAAGAAGUAAGCUCUGCUUUCUCCUGCUUCCCUCCACUCUCCACACGCUCAGCUCUGCUGCUGCUGCUGCGUCCUCCCCUCAUAUCAGAGCAGGCUUCUUCAGGGGGAGGCAGCCAGCCAGCCUCUUGGACUCCGCCUCUCUGGUGUGAAGCAGCUGCUGUUGGCUACCUAGACCAUAUCAUGUAAUUCGGUCUAAUAAACACCUUCUUACUACA
Molecule: long non-coding RNA, 5266 nt
Organism: Meriones unguiculatus (Mongolian gerbil)
Lineage: Eukaryota; Metazoa; Chordata; Mammalia; Rodentia; Muridae
Exons: 5
Source: RefSeq, a predicted model, not a curated record